Molecule: transfer RNA, 71 nt
Filed under: Stegodyphus mimosarum
Lineage: Eukaryota; Metazoa; Arthropoda; Arachnida; Araneae; Eresidae
Rfam family: tRNA
About the family: Transfer RNA (tRNA) molecules are approximately 80 nucleotides in length. Their secondary structure includes four short double-helical elements and three loops (D, anti-codon, and T loops). Further hydrogen bonds mediate the characteristic L-shaped molecular structure. tRNAs have two regions of fundamental functional importance: the anti-codon, which is responsible for specific mRNA codon recognition, and the 3' end, to which the tRNAs corresponding amino acid is attached (by aminoacyl-tRNA synthetases). tRNAs cope with the degeneracy of the genetic code in two manners: having more than one tRNA (with a specific anti-codon) for a particular amino acid; and 'wobble' base-pairing, i.e. permitting non-standard base-pairing at the 3rd anti-codon position.
Source: Rfam by way of RNAcentral
GCUUUCGUGGUGUAACGGUAGCACAUUCGGCACGCAUUCGAGAGGUCCAGGUUCGAAUCCCGGCGAAAGCA